CUCUAACUAGUGCCAGCAGCAUGCAGAGGCUCCAGGCACAGCCUUGUGCUGGACUCCAAAGCCAACCAGUGGAGGGACACGUAGAAUUAACACAGUCUGGGGCUUACUUCUUUCUUCUUUUCAAGUCAUAAGCAACCAGCUCUGCUCCUCCAUGUACUCCACCAAGAUGAGUCUUCUCACCACAGACACAGAGCAAUGGAGCCAACCACUGUGGACUGGAACUUCCCACCUCUGGCCUAAAUCAUUCUUUCCUCUCAGAGUACCUGCUACAGUGACACAGGCUAACAGACACCGAAAAACAAAACAAACAACACGGACAAGACAAUCUAGGCGGAUUGCUUGAUUUAGUCUUACUUCCUUUCAGAAAGUUUUAAGCCAACAGGAUGGGGGAUCUAUAGCUCAGUGGUAGAGUACUUGCCUAGUACACGCAUAAGGGCGGAGGCUUGAUCCCUCAUGCUGCCUCCACCCAGAAAAAUUACCAGGAGUAUGCUGCGAACAGGAAGAUGGAAAGCUGGUUUUGCAGAGCUCAAAACCUUGGAAUAAUGCCUGUCAAAUUCUACAUGUCUUUGAGAGAUGGG
Arvicola amphibius (Eurasian water vole) is the source of this 578-nucleotide long non-coding RNA. RefSeq lists it as uncharacterized. The record is from RefSeq and is a predicted model, not a curated record. NCBI's taxonomy places the organism in Eukaryota, Metazoa, Chordata, Mammalia, Rodentia, Cricetidae. The transcript is spliced from 2 exons.